UCCUACGGGAGGCAGCAGUGAGGAAUAUUGGUCAAUGGCCGAGAGGCUGAACCAGCCAAGUCGCGUGAGGGAAGACGGCCCUACGGGUUGUAAACCUCUUUUGUCGGGGAGCAAAGCGAGUCACGUGUGACUCGUUGAGAGUACCCGAAGAAAAAGCAUCGGCUAACUCCGUGCCAGCAGCCGCGGUAAUACGGAGGAUGCGAGCGUUAUCCGGAUUUAUUGGGUUUAAAGGGUGCGCAGGCGGAGGUGCAAGUCAGCGGUCAAAUUGCGGGGCUCAACCCCGUCCUGCCGUUGAAACUGCAUCC
Molecule: ribosomal RNA, 305 nt
Filed under: uncultured bacterium
Lineage: Bacteria
Description: bacterial SSU rRNA
Rfam family: Bacterial small subunit ribosomal RNA
Source: RNAcentral